RNAcentral lists this ribosomal RNA (264 nucleotides) under uncultured bacterium. RNAcentral's name for it is "partial 16S ribosomal RNA". It matches the Rfam family "Bacterial small subunit ribosomal RNA", at positions 793 to 1055 of the family's 1533-position model. The record is from RNAcentral.
GUCCACGCUGUAAACGAUGAGCACUCGAUGUGCGAGGUCUACGACUCCUCGCGUGUCACAGCUAACGCAAUAAGUGCUCCGCCUGGGGAUUACGGUCGCAAGACUAAAAACUCAAAGGAAUUGACGGGGGCCCCGCACAAGCGGUGGAGGAUGUGGUUUAAUUCGACGCAACGCGAAGAACCUUACCUGGGCUUGACAUCCCCGGACGCCCCAGAGAUGGGGUUUCCCUUCGGAGCCGGGAGACAGGUGCUGCAUGGCUGUCGU